This 464-nucleotide ribosomal RNA is filed under the name uncultured bacterium. Its description in RNAcentral is "partial 16S ribosomal RNA". It matches the Rfam family "Bacterial small subunit ribosomal RNA", at positions 339 to 795 of the family's 1533-position model. The record is from RNAcentral.
CUACGGGUCGCACCAGUAGGGAAUUUUCGGCAAUGGGCGAAAGUCUGACCGAGCAAUGCCGCGUGAACGAUGAAGGUCUUCGGAUCGUAAAGUUCUGUUAUUAGGGAAGAACAACUGGUUUAGGAAAUGAUUCCAGUCUGACGGUACCUAAUCAGAAAGCUCCGGCUAACUACGUGCCAGCAGCCGCGGUAAUACGUAGGGAGCGAGCGUUAUCCGGAAUUAUUGGGCGUAAAGCGUGCGUAGGCGGUUUGUUAAGUCAAAUCUGAAAGCCCCCGGCUUAACCGGGGAGGGUGAUUUGAAACUGGCAGACUUGAGUACGGCAGAGGGUAGUGGAAUUCAAUGUGUAGCGGUGGAAUGCGUAGAUAUAUUGAGGAACACCAGUGGCGAAGGCGGCUAACUGGACCGGAACUGACGCUGAGGCACGAAAGCGUGGGGAGCAAACAGGAUUAGAUACCCCCGUAGUC